AAGGAUCAUUAUCAUGUAUUUCAGUCAUGCUGCUGUGUGAACUGCUAUAAAUCCACUCUGUGUACCCCACCCUGUUGCUUCCGCUGGGCCCCCCGGGGCAUUUUGGAGGAGCUUACAAUGGAAGUGCGGCUCAGUUCUCUGUGCUGCGAUGCUUUGCGGCCUUUCCAGGCUGCUCUGGAGUUACCUGCCCAGCGGGAGGAUUAAAUAAUAUCUUGGUUUUACAAUUGAAUCAGUCUGAACGAGAAGAACCAACUAAAAUGUUAAAACUUUCAGCAACGGAUCUCUUGGUUCUC
This 293-nucleotide unclassified non-coding RNA is filed under the name uncultured fungus. RNAcentral's name for it is "partial contains 18S rRNA, ITS1, 5.8S rRNA, ITS2 and 28S rRNA". Lineage: Eukaryota; Fungi. The record is from RNAcentral.